CCUACGGGUGGCACCAGUGGGGAAUAUUGCACAAUGGGCGCAAGCCUGAUGCAGCCAUGCCGCGUGUAUGAAGAAGGCCUCCGGGUUGUAAAGUACUUUCAGCGGGGAGGAAGGCGAUAAGGUUAAUAACCUUGUCGAUUGACGUUACCCGCAGAAGAAGCACCGGCUAACUCCGUGCCAGCAGCCGCGGUAAUACGGAGGGUGCAAGCGUUAAUCGGAAUUACUGGGCGUAAAGCGCACGCGGGCGGUCUGUCAAGUCGGAUGUGAAAUCCCCGGGCUCAACCUGGGAACUGCAUUCGAAACUGGCAGGCUAGAGUCUUGUAGAGGGGGGUAGAAUUCCAGGUGUAGCGGUGAAAUGCGUAGAGAUCCGGAGGAAUACCGGUGGCGAAGGCGGCCCCCUGGACAAAGGCUGACGCUCAGGUGCGAAGGCGUGGGGAGCAAACAGGAUUAGAUACCCUAGUAGUC
Molecule: ribosomal RNA, 465 nt
Filed under: uncultured bacterium
Lineage: Bacteria
Description: bacterial SSU rRNA
Rfam family: Bacterial small subunit ribosomal RNA
Source: RNAcentral